Molecule: long non-coding RNA, 204 nt
Organism: Mauremys reevesii (Reeves's turtle)
Lineage: Eukaryota; Metazoa; Chordata; Testudines; Geoemydidae
Exons: 3
Source: RefSeq, a predicted model, not a curated record
CACUCAUUGCCCAUGUCAUGGAUUUAUGUAGGCACCUAGAAGCCCUGGCUGAGAUCAGAGACUUGUUGUGUGAAAUGUUGUACAAACACCCAGCAAGAGAUGGUCCCCGCCCCAAAGAACUUACAUGAUCAAUGAUUUGGAGAAUAUGAAGUGCACCCUCCAUAUGGGUACGUCUCUGCUCUGGACAUACGACUUUUCAAUCAC